UUGACCUUUACACCCUUCUGUGUAUUUUACCUGUUUUUGGAUGAUGGAAUUAGUAAAAUAUUCCAUAGAACAAAUAUUUUAAACUAUUAUUCAUAAUGAUAUUAGUCUGAUUUUGUAUAAAUAAAAGUUAAAACUUUCAACAACGGAUCUCUUGGUUCUCGCAUCGAUGAAGAACGCAGCGAAAUGCGAUAAGUAGUGUGAAUUGCAGAAUUCAGUGAAUCAUCGAAUCUUUGAACGCACAUUGCGCCUUCUAGUAUUCUGGGAGGCAUGCCUGUUUGAGCGUCAUUAAAUCUUACUCUAGCAGUUUUGCUUGGAUAUGAAGGAAGAGUAUAUAAAGGCUCUCCUUUGAAAUGUAUUAGUAGAUGUAAAGUUGUGAAUUACACUGUUUUGAUGUAAUAGUCUUUAUUGGUUGUGAUUUGUAUACAACUAUAUCUUGCUUUAACAUAUUUUUUUUUUUUAUGGUUGACCUCAAAUCAGGUAGGGAUACCCGCUGAACUUAAGCAUAUC
This 507-nucleotide unclassified non-coding RNA is filed under the name uncultured Pezizales. RNAcentral describes it as "sequence contains 18S rRNA gene, ITS1, 5.8S rRNA gene and ITS2". The stretch from base 132 to 285 matches the Rfam family "5.8S ribosomal RNA". The record is from RNAcentral. Lineage: Eukaryota; Fungi; Ascomycota; Pezizomycetes; Pezizales.